AUACAUACCUGGGCGGGGUCAAUUGGUGAUCAGGAAGGCCAAUGGCCUGGAAACAUCACCUCCAUUGCACUCAAAGGAGGGGGAUGUUUCUAGCAUCACCUUUUCGGGUGAGUGCACGUCAUAAUAUUUGGUAGUGGGGGCAUGCGUUCGCGCAGCCCCUAA
This is a small nuclear RNA of Cryptomeria japonica (Japanese cedar), 162 nucleotides long. RefSeq annotates it as U1 spliceosomal RNA. The transcript has a single exon. NCBI's taxonomy places the organism in Eukaryota, Viridiplantae, Streptophyta, Pinopsida, Cupressales, Cupressaceae. The record is from RefSeq and is a predicted model, not a curated record.